RNAcentral lists this transfer RNA (85 nucleotides) under Rhodoferax sp. RNAcentral describes it as "tRNA-Leu". It matches the Rfam family "tRNA". Rfam says of the family: Transfer RNA (tRNA) molecules are approximately 80 nucleotides in length. Their secondary structure includes four short double-helical elements and three loops (D, anti-codon, and T loops). RNAcentral also lists the same sequence under 2 other names. The record is from RNAcentral. Lineage: Bacteria; Pseudomonadati; Pseudomonadota; Betaproteobacteria; Burkholderiales; Comamonadaceae.
GCGCGGGUGGCGAAAUUGGUAGACGCACCUGGUUUAGGUCCAGACGCUGCAAGGCGUGCAGGUUCGAUUCCUGUCCCGCGCACCA